CCGCGGGGACACUCCGCGAUGGACGAGCCGAGCCUCCUGCGGCGCCGCGGGCUCCAGAAAGAGCUGAGUCUUCCACGCCGGGGGCGCGGAAUGUUCCUAGCUUGGGAUCCAGCCCAAGCAUAGUUGGUGGCACCUGCCUGUGAUCCCAGCGGCACCCUGGAGGCUGAGAAAGGAAAAUGGGCAGUUCCAAGCCAGCCUGAGCUACAUGAGACCCUGCCUUAAAAAAUAAAUAAAAAUGAAAAAGCCA
This is a long non-coding RNA of Peromyscus eremicus (cactus mouse), 247 nucleotides long. RefSeq lists it as uncharacterized. The record is from RefSeq and is a predicted model, not a curated record. Lineage: Eukaryota; Metazoa; Chordata; Mammalia; Rodentia; Cricetidae. The transcript has 3 exons.